RNAcentral lists this non-coding RNA (156 nucleotides) under Rhodovulum sp. ES.010. RNAcentral's name for it is "Ruegeria cis2 sRNA". It matches the Rfam family "Ruegeria cis2 sRNA". Rfam says of the family: Cis-encoded. Targets ABC transporter. Lineage: Bacteria; Pseudomonadati; Pseudomonadota; Alphaproteobacteria; Rhodobacterales; Paracoccaceae. The record is from Rfam by way of RNAcentral.
GACGGCCGUGAACUGGGGGCUGUAGUUGAUGAAGGUAUAGCCGCGCGCCUGAUCGAUGCAGUGGAACAGCGGGUUCCAGUCGAACAACGUCAGCAUGUAGCCCGGCAGCGUGUUGGCGAGGAACAUCUUGCCCGAGGCGAUCAUGUUCAGCCGCUG